GACAGAGGGUGCAAACGUUGUUCGGAAUUACUGGGCGUAAAGCGCGUGUAGGCGGCUAAGUAAGUCGGGCGUGAAAUCCCACGGCUCAACCGUGGAAGUGCACUCGAAACUGCAUAGCUAGAGUCCUGGAGAGGAAGGUGGAAUGCUUGGUGUAGAGGUGAAAUGCGCAGAUAUCAGGAGGAACACCGGUGGCGAAGGCGGUGAUCUGGGCCGACACUGACGCUGUAGAGCGAAAGCGUGGGGAGCGAACAGG
RNAcentral lists this ribosomal RNA (253 nucleotides) under uncultured bacterium. Its description in RNAcentral is "partial 16S ribosomal RNA". It matches the Rfam family "Bacterial small subunit ribosomal RNA", at positions 524 to 776 of the family's 1533-position model. The record is from RNAcentral.